This 988-nucleotide ribosomal RNA is filed under the name Salmonella enterica. RNAcentral describes it as "partial 23S ribosomal RNA". It matches the Rfam family "Bacterial large subunit ribosomal RNA", at positions 1 to 922 of the family's 2925-position model. The record is from RNAcentral. Lineage: Bacteria; Pseudomonadati; Pseudomonadota; Gammaproteobacteria; Enterobacterales; Enterobacteriaceae.
GGGUUGUGAGGUUAAGCGACUAAGCGUACACGGUGGAUGCCCUGGCAGUCAGAGGCGAUGAAGGGCGUGCUAAUCUGCGAUAAGCGCCGGUAAGGUGAUAUGAACCGUUAUAACCGGCGAUACCCGAAUGGGGAAACCCAGUGUGACUCGUCACACUAUCAUUAACUGAAUCCAUAGGUUAAUGAGGCGAACCGGGGGAACUGAAACAUCUAAGUACCCCGAGGAAAAGAAAUCAACCGAGAUUCCCCCAGUAGCGGCGAGCGAACGGGGAGGAGCCCAGAGCCUGAAUCAGCAUGUGUGUUAGUGGAAGCGUCUGGAAAGGCGCGCGAUACAGGGUGACAGCCCCGUACACAAAAGCGCAUGUGCUGUGAGCUCGAUGAGUAGGGCGGGACACGUGGUAUCCUGUCUGAAUAUGGGGGGACCAUCCUCCAAGGCUAAAUACUCCUGACUGACCGAUAGUGAACCAGUACCGUGAGGGAAAGGCGAAAAGAACCCCGGCGAGGGGAGUGAAAAAGAACCUGAAACCGUGUACGUACAAGCAGUGGGAGCCCCACCACUAAGCCAGUGGUGAACUCACAUACGCAUCCUUUGCUGAAGGUGCGGUUAACGGAGCGCAAGCGACGUUCAACCUCAAAAGAAGCAGAGGGGGCUUAGUGGUGGGGUGACUGCGUACCUUUUGUAUAAUGGGUCAGCGACUUAUAUUCUGUAGCAAGGUUAACCGAAUAGGGGAGCCGGAGGGAAACCGAGUCUUAAUUGGGCGUUAAGUUGCAGGGUAUAGACCCGAAACCCGGUGAUCUAGCCAUGGGCAGGUUGAAGGUUGGGUAACACUAACUGGAGGACCGAACCGACUAAUGUUGAAAAAUUAGCGGAUGACCUGUGGCUGGGGGUGAAAGGCCAAUCAAACCGGGAGAUAGCUGGUUCUCCCCGAAAGCUAUUUAGGUAGCGCCUCGUGAAUUCAUCUCCGGGGGUAGAGCACUGUUUCGGCUAG